This 461-nucleotide ribosomal RNA is filed under the name uncultured Anaerolineae bacterium. RNAcentral describes it as "bacterial SSU rRNA". It matches the Rfam family "Bacterial small subunit ribosomal RNA", at positions 28 to 505 of the family's 1533-position model. Lineage: Bacteria; Bacillati; Chloroflexota; Anaerolineae. The record is from RNAcentral.
GAUGAACGCUAGCGGCGUGCCUAAUGCAUGCAAGUCGAACGGGAAGCCUUGACUUCGGUUGAGGUGGAGAGUGGCAGACGGGUGAGUAACGCGUUGGUGACCUGCCCUUGAGAGGGGGACAACCAGUGGAAACGCUGGCUAAUACCCCAGAUGUAAACUUGGCUAGAAAAAGUUUACUAAAGCUCCGGCGCUCAAGGAGGGGCCAGCGUCCCAUCAGCUAGUUGGUAAGGUAAUGGCUUACCAAGGCAGAGACGGGUAGGGGGCGUGAGAGCGUGGCCCCCCACACUGGUACUGGGACACGGACCAGAUACCUACGGGUAGCAGCAGCAAGGAAUAUUGCGCAAUGGGGGAAACCCUGACGCAGCAACGCCGCGUGGAGGAAGAAGGCCUUCGGGUCGUAAACUCCUUUUCUGAGGGAUGAGGAAGGACAGUACCUCAGGAAUAAGGCCCGGCUAACUACG